GAAGGUUAAGCCUGGACUCUGAGGAAUGGUAGGCAAGGCUCUGUCAUGGACCUACAGCACAUGCUCUCGGAGCUGUCUUGACACUGUGUAGCCAGGGAAACAUUAAAACAACUUUAGUCUGUAGUUAGGGAAUGGAAAGCCCAGUGAGGCCGAGGAACUUGCUGACUGCCAGGCACUGGGAAUCCCAGGAGCAGAGCAGUUGGUAAGUGAGGAGGGUGAGCCAGAGACUCCAUCCAGAAGCUCAUGAUCAAACCAAGAGUGGCCCCCAGCAACUGUCAUGCAUGCUGUCCCCAAGACAACCAUGGCUUACGCUCAUCUCUUCCUCUCUGCACUCCUCUGGGGUGGUGGGACAAUCUGGCACUUCAGACCCAGGUUUGCUACCAGAGGGAGUCAUGGGCCUGCAGAAUGACACAGCCCUCUUCCAAGAACCAUUCAUUCUGAAGAGAGUACCAGAGUAAGACCUUUGGAACACUGCAUAAAUAAGGGGGCUUGAGAUGAUACACAACUGGUCC
This is a long non-coding RNA of Chionomys nivalis (European snow vole), 512 nucleotides long. RefSeq lists it as uncharacterized. The record is from RefSeq and is a predicted model, not a curated record. NCBI's taxonomy places the organism in Eukaryota, Metazoa, Chordata, Mammalia, Rodentia, Cricetidae. The transcript has 3 exons.